CCGGCACGGGCGAGUAACACGUAUCCAACCUGCCGUCUACUCUUGGCCAGCCUUCUGAAGGAAGAUUAAUCCAGGAUGGCAUCAUGAGUUCACAUGUCCGCAUGAUUAAAGGUAUUUUCCGGUAGACGAUGGGGAUGCGUUCCAUUAGAUAGUAGGCGGGGUAACGGCCCACCUAGUCAACGAUGGAUAGGGGUUCUGAGAGGAAGGUCCCCCACAUUGGAACUGAGACACGGUCCAA
RNAcentral lists this ribosomal RNA (238 nucleotides) under uncultured bacterium. RNAcentral describes it as "partial 16S ribosomal RNA". It matches the Rfam family "Bacterial small subunit ribosomal RNA", at positions 100 to 334 of the family's 1533-position model. The record is from RNAcentral.